RNAcentral lists this long non-coding RNA (1441 nucleotides) under Gallus gallus (chicken). Its description in RNAcentral is "lncRNA (ENSGALG00010022687.1)". The record is from RNAcentral. Lineage: Eukaryota; Metazoa; Chordata; Aves; Galliformes; Phasianidae.
UGCCAAUCUCCUUUUUUGGAAAUUUCUCCUUAGCAUUCUGAAUUUAUUACAAAUUCAUUGUUUCUAAUACAAAUUUUCCCUUUCUCUCGUCAAUUUAUUAUCUGUUUUUCAUUUCCCUUCUCUUUUGUUAAUCUUUCUAAAUAACUUUAAAGUGGUCCUCCAUCUAUUUAGCUAAAUGAAUUCACUCCACAGAUACUCAUUAUUUUGAGGAUGAUUUAUGCAAGCACUAUUAGCUAGAUUGUUCCUUGUUUGAAGGUUUUUCUGCAAUCAGAAGAACUCAGAUUUGAGUCAGCUAGAAUGAGAUCCAGUGAAAAAAAAUUAUUACAUAAAGUGUUCAGCACCUCCAUCAGACUUCGUAUGUGGGAGGUCAGCUCAAAAGGCAUAAAAACACAAAGCAGCUUUCUGCUGUGGGUCUGACCCACUGAUCUCACCUUAGCCUGGGAAAUGCUGUAGCAUCGUGCCCCAAAAUUACAUUCAGGUUGUUUGUUUGCUUCCAGUUGAUACUUACAAUUCCAUGGGAUGAGGUCCUGUGUCACACGGUGGGGUGCAGGAUGUGGCAUAAAGGGGAGCAAGAGCCAGGAUAGCCCUCGUUCCUUUGGGCCACUGGGGGGUUUUCAGCCCUUGGGAGUCUGUAGGAAAAGUGGGAGGGGGGACAGUCCGUAAGUUGGCUUUAUGAAGAAUACUUGAGAUGAGUUGGGGAUCUUUCUGCGAAGUCCUGUCUUGUCUUCCUGUACCAGCAAAUAGCUGCUUUGCACUAAAUGAAUGAAAUGAUGAAGAAGAGGAAGGAAGUGAGGUUAGAUGCCCUCAAUCUAUAUGUGGGAUGUGAUGGAGCGGAUCCAUUUUUUCCACUGUUGAAACCACUGUGGCUGCUGUAGCUUUGGGAGCUGUCUUGACCUGGGUGGCUGCUGUCUGUGUGAUUUUGGGGCAGCUGUGCCCAUCCCCAUCCUGUGUGCUCUGGAGUACAGCCAGGUGCGUGCCAGUGGGGGACGAUCUAUGAGGGCCAGCUAAGAGCAUUACACAUCCCAUUAGGGCAGCUGUGAAAUUGCAAGGCAAGUGCCCAUUCAGGGUACGUACAUCCUCAGAUCAGUAUUGAUCUUGAGAUUUCUGUUGGCUUAUUAAUGACAGCAGCUCUGUGGCCAGAUCCUUCUGGCUGCUGUAGACCUGCAGGAGCCCUCCUGCUGCCAGCGCAGCCAUCUGGAGUAAAUGGGGCAGGAUCUGUCCUUCUCCUUCCAACCACCACACGUGGGUUAAGCAGGAAGCAUGGGAGGGAGGGAGUGUUUUUGCCAGCAAAAUGUUGUCUCUCUUCAGCAAUGACCACCAUUGGAGUUAAUUCAUCUUUCGGAGAAUAAGCCAAAAUCCCCACUGAGGAUUGGUUUGGGCCUAUUUUUUGCCAAGCUUCAUCAGAAUCCUCUGUUUUCGCAAUAAAAGUCCCUCUCAGCUG